AAAGCGUCCGUAGCCGGCCGGUCAAGUCCGUUGGGAAAUCUCUCCGCUUAACGGGCGGGAGUCCAGCGGAAACUGUCCGGCUUGGGACCGGAAGACCCGAGGGGUACGUCCGUGGUAGGAGUGAAAUCCUGUAAUCCCGGGCGGACCACCGAUGGCGAAAGCACCUCGGGAGGACGGAUCCGACGGUGAGGGACGAAAGCUAGGGUCUCGAACCGGAUUAGAUACCCGGGUAGUCCUAGCCGUAAACGAUGCCCGCUAGGUGUGACGCAGGCUACGAGCCUGCGCUGUGCCGUAGGGAAGCCGUGAAGCGGGCCGCCUGGGAAGUACGUCCGCAAGGAUGAGACUUAAAGGAAUUGGCGGGGGAGCACUACAACCGGAGGAGCCUGCGGUUUAAUUGGAGUCAACGCCGGA
Molecule: ribosomal RNA, 411 nt
Filed under: uncultured archaeon
Lineage: Archaea
Description: bacterial SSU rRNA
Rfam family: Archaeal small subunit ribosomal RNA
Source: RNAcentral